RNAcentral lists this ribosomal RNA (460 nucleotides) under uncultured bacterium. Its description in RNAcentral is "bacterial SSU rRNA". It matches the Rfam family "Bacterial small subunit ribosomal RNA", at positions 343 to 819 of the family's 1533-position model. The record is from RNAcentral.
UUGAGGCAGCAGCAAGGAAUAUUGGGCAAUGGGCGAAAGCCUGACCCAGCGACGCCGCGUGGGGGAAGAAGGCCUUCGGGUUGUAAACCCCUUUUCUCAGGGAAGAAUAAUGACGGUACCCGAGGAAUAAGCCUCGGCUAACUACGUGCCAGCAGCCGCGGUAAUACGUAGGAGGCGAGCGUUAUCCGGAUUUACUGGGCGUAAAGAGGGCGUAGGCGGCUUUUCAAGUCGGAUGUGAAAUCUCCCGGCUCAAUCGGGAGGGGUCAUUCGAUACUGGUGGGCUAGAGGGCAGCAGAGGGAGGUGGAAUUCCCGGUGUAGUGGUGAAAUGCGUAGAUAUCGGGAGGAACACCAGUGGCGAAGGCGGCUUCCUAGGCUGUUUCUGACGCUGAGGCCCGAAAGCGUGGGGAGCGAACAGGAUUAGAUACCCUGGUAGUCCACGCCGUAAACGAUGGACACUAG